GCAAGUCGAACGGUAAACGACAGGUAGCUUGCUCCUGGGCGUCGAGUGGCGGACGGGUGAGUAAUGCAUAGGAAUCUGCCCAUGUAGUGGGGGACAACCUGGGGAAACUCAGGCUAAUACCGCAUGAGCCCUUCGGGGGAAAGCAGGGGAUCUUCGGACCUUGCGCUAUUGGAUGAGCCUAUGCCUGAUUAGCUUGUUGGUGGGGUAACGGCCUACCAAGGCGACGAUCAGUAGCUGGUCUGAGAGGACGAUCAGCCACACUGGGACUGAGACACGGCCCAGACUCCUACGGGAGGCAGCAGUGGGGAAUAUUGGACAAUGGGCGCAAGCCUGAUCCAGCAAUGCCGCGUGUGUGAAGAAGGCCUGCGGGUUGUAAAGCACUUUCAGUGGGGAGGAAAAGCUCAAGGUUAAUACCCUUGGGUCUUGACGUUAUCCACAGAAGAAGCACCGGCUAACUCUGUGCCAGCAGCCGCGGUAAUACAGAGGGUGCAAGCGUUAAUCGGAAUUACUGGGCGUAAAGCGCGCGUAGGCGGUUUGUUAAGUCGGAUGUGAAAGCCCCGGGCUCAACCCGGGAACUGCAUUCGAUACUGGCAGGCUAGAGUAUGGUAGAGGGAAGUGGAAUUCCGGGUGUAGCGGUGAAAUGCGUAGAUAUC
Molecule: ribosomal RNA, 653 nt
Filed under: uncultured Gammaproteobacteria bacterium
Lineage: Bacteria; Pseudomonadati; Pseudomonadota; Gammaproteobacteria
Description: bacterial SSU rRNA
Rfam family: Bacterial small subunit ribosomal RNA
Source: RNAcentral